CCCCAUGUUCCUCUAGGACCCACCUACCUUAGGUGCAAGCUCUCUCCAAACUGCUCUUACCCACAAUUCACCGCUCCCCAAAUCAGAGACACCAACUGCAGCAAAAGCAGUUGCCCCUGCAGUCAUCUGCAGGGCAAGUAUCCCCAUUCCUUGCCUGCUGCCAUUUCUUGAGAGCUCUAGCUGUUGCCCAUCUCUUGCCUCCCUCUGCCAAGAAGGCUGCAUGAUUGCAGCCCUUUGUGCCCUCUAGCCCCACUCCUUGACUGCUACUCCUGGAGUGGAAGACUACACUGCUUCUUGCUCCUCCUCAAGCCUUCAAGGAGCUGUUGGGGAAAUCUGACAAUUCAGAACUGUUUUCUUGGAUAUGCUUAGCCUUUGGGCAUAUCCAAAAAUUUAGAAUUCCAGGAAUCACAAGGGCACAAGCUGGACUCUCCCAGCCUAUAGCCUCAGCAAAAGGGCCAGGGCUGAAUGAGCUGCAGAUAGAAGCACUCCUAAUCACAUAUCAGUUCCUGUUCCUAAAGACAUCUCCCUGUCCCAGCUUGUGCCAUUUAGCUGCUGCCCCAACUGUUCUGGAGGCAUACUGCAAGAGGGGGUUCAAUCCUCACUGCUUGCACAGUGAUUCCUCCCCAGACAGCCCUCUGCCUUGCCACCUGCUUCAAUCCUUGUAUUUGGUCAAGGAGUCCCAUAUUCCCAUCCUGCAUAGCAGCGGGGCUACCAGAGCCCAGGUGUAGGGGAGUGGGUAGGCCAAAGCUACUGCCACAACCCACUUAGCUCACAUGUGCUUCUGGCCAAAUCUGGUGCUGGGGGAAGGGCCAGCCAUUGGUACAGGCACACUAAGGGUCAUUCUAGUUGCAAAACACAGCUGGGGGGGGUGGGGGGGCAGGCAUGGAAAUGGAACUACACACAGCACAGUAGAGACUCAUAUGGACUGAGACACUGCCUGCACCUCCUUCUUCCCUGACUUCUAGGGAGGGAGAA
Molecule: long non-coding RNA, 975 nt
Organism: Gavialis gangeticus (Gharial)
Lineage: Eukaryota; Metazoa; Chordata; Crocodylia; Gavialidae
Exons: 2
Source: RefSeq, a predicted model, not a curated record